CCGGAGAAUGUUAUCACGGGAGACACACGGCGGGUGCUAACGUCCGUCGUGAAGAGGGAAACAACCCAGACCGCCAGCUAAGGUCCCAAAGUCAUGGUUAAGUGGGAAACGAUGUGGGAAGGCCCAGACAGCCAGGAUGUUGGCUUAGAAGCAGCCAUCAUUUAAAGAAAGCGUAAUAGCUCACUGGUCGAGUCGGCCUGCGCGGAAGAUGUAACGGGGCUAAACCAUGCACCGAAGCUGCGGCAGCGACGCUGAUGCGUUGUUGGGUAGGGGAGCGUUCUGUAAGCCUGCGAAGGUGACCUGUGAGGGUUGCUGGAGGUAUCAGAAGUGCGAAUGCUGACAUAAGUAACGAUAAAGCGGGUGAAAAGCCCGCUCGCCGGAAGACCAAGGGUUCCUGUCCAACGUUAAUCGGGGCAGGGUGAGUCGACCCCUAAGGCGAGGCCGAAAGGCGUAGUUGAUGGGAAACGGGUUAAUAUUCCCGUACUUGGUGUUACUGCGAAGGGGGGACGGAGAAGGCUAUGUUGGCCGGGCGACGGUUGUCCCGGUUUAAGCGUGUAGG
This 559-nucleotide ribosomal RNA is filed under the name Salmonella enterica subsp. enterica serovar Typhimurium. RNAcentral's name for it is "bacterial LSU rRNA". It matches the Rfam family "Bacterial large subunit ribosomal RNA", at positions 962 to 1524 of the family's 2925-position model. The record is from RNAcentral. Lineage: Bacteria; Pseudomonadati; Pseudomonadota; Gammaproteobacteria; Enterobacterales; Enterobacteriaceae.